GCGGGUAUGGCGGAAUAGGCAGACGCGCUACCUUGAGGGGGUAGUGGGAGUAACUCCCGUGCAGGUUCAAGUCCUGUUACCCGCA
Molecule: transfer RNA, 85 nt
Filed under: Aerococcus sanguinicola
Lineage: Bacteria; Bacillati; Bacillota; Bacilli; Lactobacillales; Aerococcaceae
Also listed under: 14 other names
Rfam family: tRNA
About the family: Transfer RNA (tRNA) molecules are approximately 80 nucleotides in length.
Source: Rfam by way of RNAcentral